AGUGAACGCUGGCGGUAGGCCUAACACAUGCAAGUCGAACGGCAGCACAGGAGAGCUUGCUCUCUGGGUGGCGAGUGGCGGACAGGUGAGGAAUACAUCGGAAUCUACUCUGUCGUGGGGGAUAACGUAGGGAAACUUACGCUAAUACCGCAUACGACCUACGGGUGAAAGCAGGGGACCUUCGGGCCUUGCGCGAUUGAAUGAGCCGAUGUCGGAUUAGCUAGUUGGCGGGGUAAAGGCCCACCAAGGCGACGAUCCGUAGCUGGUCUGAGAGGAUGAUCAGCCACACUGGAACUGAGACACGGUCCAGUCUCCUACGGGAGGCAGCAGUGGGGAAUAUUGGACAAUGGGCGCAAGCCUGAUUCAGCCAUACCGCGUGGGUGAAGAAGGCCUUCGGGUUGUAAAGCCCUUUUGUUGGGAAAGAAAUCCAGCUGGCUAAUACCCGGUUGGGAUGACGGUACCCAAAGAAUAAGCACCGGCUAACUUCGUGCCAGCCGCCGCCGUAA
This 506-nucleotide ribosomal RNA is filed under the name uncultured bacterium. RNAcentral's name for it is "partial 16S ribosomal RNA". It matches the Rfam family "Bacterial small subunit ribosomal RNA", at positions 29 to 523 of the family's 1533-position model. The record is from RNAcentral.